Gorilla gorilla gorilla (western lowland gorilla) is the source of this 1288-nucleotide long non-coding RNA. RefSeq lists it as uncharacterized. Lineage: Eukaryota; Metazoa; Chordata; Mammalia; Primates; Hominidae. The record is from RefSeq and is a predicted model, not a curated record. The transcript is spliced from 3 exons.
AAACACAGCAACGAGGUGAAUGACAUGGGAGACAGACCUGGGGUCUUUUAGGGACGGAAAGCCUCAGCCAAGACCCAGACUCCCAGGGUCAUCAACCUCCUCGGGUCACUAACCCUCCCCAGUGUCUGUCUACCCCUAAGUCCAGAGAACACGUCCUCUCUAGGCUCGAGCCGGAAUCAAUAUAGGCUACAAGGGCAUCAGUUCAGGCUGCGCGGAGAAGAGAAGGAAGUGCUGAUGUGGAGAGACAAGGUCUCACUUUGUUGGCCUCCCAAAGUGCUGGAAUUAUAGGCAUGAGCCACUGUGCCCUGCCCAAGAAUAAUGUUGAUGAGAGGAUCCGUGAGGUUCAUCUAUCUGUAGUGCUUCUGGCCAGAGAAAAGGCCGAAGAGAGAAGACCCUGAGGAACAUCUUUGACCUGCAUAGAAACUUAUCUGAAGAUUUUCAGAAUCUGACCCUCACCCUCAGUCUAUCCCAGUUUUAUCCUGACCUGUCCACAUCUGUUAUACUCCAAGGCUUGCUGGGCCCAACACUGGAAGCUAUUUAAUGUUUCUGUUGCGACUGGCCUUUUAAAGCCAGUGGGAUUCUCCAUGCUACACUUGAGCCUGGAGACUAGAAAACAUGACAGCCUGUUUUCAUUAAUCUGUUUUCAUUAACUGCUGUGGUAUGAAUGUUUAUGUUGUCCACAGAUUCAUAUAUUAAAAUCCUAACUCCCGGCUGGACGCAGUGGGUCACACCUGUAAUCCCAGCACUUUGGGAGGCUGAGGCAGGUGGAUCACUUGAGGUCAGGAGUUUGAAACCAGCCUGGCCAACAUGGCAAAACCCCGUCUCUACUAAAAAUGCAAAAAUUAGCCGGGCAUAGUGGCUGGGCUAAUCCCAGCUACUGGGGAGGCUGAGGCAUGAGAGUCACUUGAAUCCUGGGACUGGAGGUUGCAGUGCCCCAGGAUCAUGCCACUGCAUUCCAGCCUGGGCAACAGACAGCGAGACUCCGUCUCAAAAUAAAUACACAAAUAAAUAAAAUAAAAGCCUAACUCCCAAAGUCAUGGUAUUAGGAGAUGGGGCAUUUUGUGGGGUGAUUAAGUUUUCUGAGGGCAGAGCCUUUCUGAAUGGGAUUCAUACCCUUAUAAAUAGGCCCAAGGGAAAUCAUUCACCCCUUCUACCAUGUGAGGACACAGCAAGAAGGUGCCAUCUAUAGACCAGAAAGCAGCCCUCACCAAACACUGAAUCUGCCAGCACCUUGAUCUUAGACUUCUCAGCCUUCAGAGCUCUGAGAAAUAAAUGUCUGUUGUUUAUA